This 587-nucleotide unclassified non-coding RNA is filed under the name leaf metagenome. Its description in RNAcentral is "partial contains small subunit ribosomal RNA, internal transcribed spacer 1, 5.8S ribosomal RNA, internal transcribed spacer 2, and large subunit ribosomal RNA". The stretch from base 220 to 373 matches the Rfam family "5.8S ribosomal RNA". The record is from RNAcentral.
AGUCGUAACAAGGUUUCCGUUGGUGAACCAGCGGAAGGAUCAUUACAGCGAAGCGGCGCGAGCCGCCUUUCGAACCACCGCGUACCGAACCCCCCACGUUGCCUCGGCGGGCGCCGGGCGCCCCGCGCCCGCCCCGCCGAACGGCCCCCCAGCAAGACCCCUUCCGUCGAGAUGGCGUCGUCUGAACCCUCCGGGGAAAACGUUUGAAACGAAAAACACAACUUUCAACAAUGGAUCUCUUGGCUCCGGCAUCGAUGAAGAACGCAGCGAAACGCGAUAGCUAGUGUGAAUUGCAGAUUUCAGUGAAUCAUCGAGUCUUUGAACGCACAUUGCGCCUCUUGGUAUUCCUCGAGGCAUGCCUGUUCGAGCGUCGUUACGCCCCUCAAGCGCGAGCUUGGUGUUGGGGACCGCCCCUGAGACACGGCGGCGGCCCCGGAAUGCAUCGGCGGUGCUGGUCCCAGCCCGGAGCGCAGCAGACAUGCGGCUCCGCGGGCGGGGCCGGCGCCCGCCGGACAAACGACGAGACCCCUCCACAAGUCGACCUCGAAUCAGGUAGGGAUACCCGCUGAACUUAAGCAUAUCAAUAA